ACGGAAGGCAGCAGUGGGGAAUAUUGGGCAAUGGGGGAAACCCUGACCCAGCAACGCCGCGUGAAGGAAGAAGGCCUUCGGGUUGUAAACUUCUUUUACCAGGGACGAUAAUGACGGUACCUGGAGAAAAAGCAACGGCUAACUACGUGCCAGCAGCCGCGGUAAUACGUAGGUUGCAAGCGUUGUCCGGAUUUACUGGGUGUAAAGGGCGUGUAGGCGGAGCUGCAAGUCAGAUGUGAAAUCCCGGGGCUCAACCCCGGAACUGCAUUUGAAACUGUAGCCCUUGAGUAUCGGAGAGGCAAGCGGAAUUCCUAGUGUAGCGGUGAAAUGCGUAGAUAUUAGGAGGAACACCAGUGGCGAAGGCGGCUUGCUGGACGACAACUGACGUUGAGGCUCGAAAGCGUGGGGAACAAACAGGAUUAGAUACCCUGGUA
Molecule: ribosomal RNA, 434 nt
Filed under: uncultured Oscillospiraceae bacterium
Lineage: Bacteria; Bacillati; Bacillota; Clostridia; Eubacteriales; Oscillospiraceae
Description: partial 16S ribosomal RNA
Rfam family: Bacterial small subunit ribosomal RNA
Source: RNAcentral